RNAcentral lists this non-coding RNA (483 nucleotides) under Streptomyces afghaniensis 772. Its description in RNAcentral is "Bacterial large subunit ribosomal RNA". It matches the Rfam family "Bacterial large subunit ribosomal RNA", at positions 752 to 1222 of the family's 2925-position model. Lineage: Bacteria; Bacillati; Actinomycetota; Actinomycetes; Kitasatosporales; Streptomycetaceae. The record is from Rfam by way of RNAcentral.
GGAGGUAAGACUUCGUGGAGGACCGAACCACCAGGGUUGAAAACCUGGGGGAUGACCUGUGGUUAGGGGUGAAAGGCCAAUCAAACUCCGUGAUAGCCGGUUCUCCCCGAAAUGCAUUUAGGUGCAGCGUCGUGUGUUUCUUGCCGGAGGUAGAGCACUGGAUAGGCAAUGGGCCCUACCGGGUUACUGACCUUAGCCAAACUCCGAAUGCCGGUAAGUGAGAGCGCGGCAGUGAGACUGUGGGGGAUAAGCUCCAUGGUCGAGAGGGAAACAGCCCAGAGCAUCGACUAAGGCCCCUAAGCGUACGCUAAGUGGGAAAGGAUGUGGAGUCGCACAGACAACCAGGAGGUUGGCUUAGAAGCAGCCACCCUUGAAAGAGUGCGUAAUAGCUCACUGGUCUAGUGAUUCCGCGCCGACAAUGUAGCGGGGCUCGAAGCGUACCGCCGAAGUCGUGUCAUUGCAGCAAGUACGGCCAACGCCGGC